RNAcentral lists this ribosomal RNA (253 nucleotides) under uncultured bacterium. RNAcentral's name for it is "partial 16S ribosomal RNA". It matches the Rfam family "Bacterial small subunit ribosomal RNA", at positions 524 to 776 of the family's 1533-position model. The record is from RNAcentral.
UACGUAGGGUGCGAGCGCUGUUCGGAAUUACUGGGCGUAAAGAGUGUGUAGGCGGUUCUGUAAGUUUGGUGUGAAAUCUCCUGGCUUAACUGGGAGGGUGCGCCGAAAACUGCAAGGCUUGAGUACUGGAGAGGAUAGCGGAAUUCCUGGUGUAGCGGUGAAAUGCGUAGAUAUCAGGAGGAACACCAAUAGCGAAGGCAGCUCGCUGGGACGGUACUGACGCUAAGGCGCGAAAGCGUGGGGAGCGAACAGG